CACAAAUUAAACAUCUCCUUAAACUUUUUGUUGAAAUAGACUUUCCUCCUAGAGGCCUCAAGCGCAGUGCACUUUGAGUAUAAAUAGAGGUGAAGUGAAGCCAUUUUGAUUCAACUCUACUUCUACAAUAUCUACUUGCUUUCUCCCUCUAGCUAGGCUACAAGCUCCUUUCUUAAGAAGAACAAGUUUUCAGAAUGGCACAGUGCACUGAUUUAUAUCGGUCGUAUAUCCUGUAACAUUUCUUUCUGAUUGCAAAUGUCAAAUAUAUAAUAGGAGAAGAAGCUUUUCUACAGAGGGGCGAGAAUAUUCAAAGCAGUUAAGGAAGAUUUGUGGAACAAAGGAAUGCAAAAUGCUAAAAAUGAGGGUUGGCUACAAUCUUGAACUGCGACAAGUUCAAGUCCUUCUUUCCCGAUGAUGUCAAAGUAAAGUGCGUUGCAAACGCAGGCUUCUUCAUCAAUGCGAAGACAAUCUUUGGUACUUCAGACAUUCAAGAGAUGUAUCAGAAAGUUGUAACUUUACAUGGAUCGGCUAAGAAUUUGCCUCCAUCUUGCGCCUCUGCAAUGGAACCAAGUCUGGUAAGAGUUUUUAUAAGCUUUUUCGAAAUAAAAUUCUUUUCUGCCUGCUAUAUAAGUAUUGCCCACUAACAAUCUCGUUUUUUCCUUAAAUAAUGGUACAGUGCUUUUUUCCGCAGCAUGUUAUUCCAUAUGUUCAGACUCCAUUUUUUAUUAUUAAUUCACACUAUGACGCUUGGCAGGUCAGGGAAACAAAUAAAUGCUAAUUCUCUUCGUUUUAAGAAUUUUGUUAAUUUGCUGCUUUUUUUUUUUUUAAGUUUCUACAAAAUCUAAAAAGAUAAUUUCAUCCAGAUUAAUAAUACUUUGGUUCCUGCAUACCUCGAUCCGCAACAUACCUGGGAUCAUUGCAAGGCUCUAAUAAGUAAUUGCACGUUUAGCCAGUGUAUAAUUAUUCAACGUUAGCCCAUUUCUGGUGAUCAACUAAUACCUUUCAGAUCACACAAGUAUAAAUUCUAAUUAAUGAUCUGUUUCACCUGUUUUCUUCUUUUAAUAUAAUAGUUUUUGGAGUGGAGUUCUUGAAGGCAUUUGAGGGACUCACCCCUUCUUAUACGAGGGGUUACUUCAUCACAUCUUCUCCCGCUCAUUCUCAAAUUAUAUGGCCGAGUUACUGGUACAGUGCUACCUCUCCAAGAGUACUUAAUAAGACAAUUGCGGAAGCUGUUGCAGAUUGGUACUUUGAUAGAGCAGUUUUCCAUUAAUACAUAGACCCAUAUCCAUGUGCUAGAGAUUGCUUGUGAAUUUUUAAAGUAGUCUUGUGCUAAAUGCUCUGCUGAGCUGUGUAGAAGUACUGUUCCAGCAUUCAGUGAAUGAAACAUUAACUUUUAU
RNA transcript from Nicotiana tabacum (common tobacco), 1397 nucleotides. It is a transcript of the gene named pectin acetylesterase 11-like, with no coding region annotated. The record is from RefSeq and is a predicted model, not a curated record. Lineage: Eukaryota; Viridiplantae; Streptophyta; Magnoliopsida; Solanales; Solanaceae.